UGGCCGUGGCGCGGCCGCGGCGCAUGGUGGACUCGUCGACCACGUCGUCGUGCAGCAAGGUGGCGGUGUGGAUCAGUUCCACCACGGCCGCC
Molecule: transfer RNA, 92 nt
Filed under: compost metagenome
Description: tRNA-Thr
Source: RNAcentral